This is a non-coding RNA of Sinocyclocheilus grahami, 73 nucleotides long. NCBI's taxonomy places the organism in Eukaryota, Metazoa, Chordata, Actinopteri, Cypriniformes, Cyprinidae. The record is from the annotation of a RefSeq genome assembly.
UUUUCUGUAGAGUAGUGGUCAUCACGUUAGCCUCACACGUGAAAGGUCCCCAGUUCGAAACUGGGCGGAAACA